CUUGCAAUUUCCAGCACAAAGAUUUAUAAUUUGUGGGCUGCGAUGCAGUGAUGAUUCUGAACCCACAGCGGAAUAGUCGUUUUGGACUGGGGGGCGGUACCCCACAGCUCCACCAUAUUUAUCUUUAUGGGGCUGACAUAGUUUCGACAGACGCAGUAAAGGCCGAUGGCUGAAUUCGACAUGGUCGUCGUUAAACACUAAACAAAAAACUGAAUGGCGAUAGAAUCGCUGCGAACGACAAUGUUCGCCUUGCAAUGGCUGCUUAAUAUAGCAUUGAUAUAAUUGGCAAUUGUUGAUUAUAUCGUUUUAGUUAUUGCGGGGUCCGCCGGGUACCUGGCACCAGAAAC
This 347-nucleotide transfer-messenger RNA is filed under the name bovine gut metagenome. RNAcentral describes it as "Alphaproteobacteria transfer-messenger RNA". It matches the Rfam family "Alphaproteobacteria transfer-messenger RNA". Rfam says of the family: Bacterial tmRNA, also known as 10Sa RNA or SsrA, is named for its dual tRNA and mRNA-like properties. Its role is to liberate the mRNA from a stalled ribosome. To accomplish this part of the tmRNA is used as a reading frame that ends in a translation stop signal. The record is from RNAcentral.